CCUACGGGAGGCUGCAGUGGGGAAUAUUGCACAAUGGGGGAAACCCUGAUGCAGCGACGCCGCGUGAGUGAAGAAGUACUUCGGUAUGGAAAGCUCUAUCAGCAGGGAAGAAGAAAGACGGUACCUGACUAAGAAGCCCCGGCCGACUACGUGCCAGCAGCCGCGGCCAUGCGUGGGGGGCAAGCGUUAUCCGGAUUUACUGGGUGUAAAGGGUGCGUAGACGGUUGGGCAAGUCUGAGGGGAAAGCCCAGGGCUCAACCCUGGGACUGCUUUGGAAACUGGGGAGCUAGAGUGCUGGAGAGGUAAGUGGAAUUCGUAGUGUAGCGGUGAAAUGCGUAGAUAUUAGGAGGAACACCGGUGGCGAAGGCGGCUUACUGGACAGUAACUGACGUUGAGGCACGAAAGCGUGGGGAGCAAACAGGAUUAGAUACCCGGGUAGUC
This 441-nucleotide ribosomal RNA is filed under the name uncultured bacterium. Its description in RNAcentral is "partial 16S ribosomal RNA". It matches the Rfam family "Bacterial small subunit ribosomal RNA", at positions 338 to 795 of the family's 1533-position model. The record is from RNAcentral.